This is a long non-coding RNA of Homo sapiens (human), 1549 nucleotides long. Ensembl annotates it as HCCS divergent transcript. Its record names the gene HCCS-DT. The record is from Ensembl. Lineage: Eukaryota; Metazoa; Chordata; Mammalia; Primates; Hominidae.
GGUUGUCUGCUCCAGAGGCUUCCCUAGAGUGAAGAGCUCUACUAUGUAUGCUUUAUGCGGCAGAAGGAGUGCUUUGGAGGAGUUUUUAAAUUUGUUUUUUUUUUAAAUCUUAUCGGUUUUAAUUGUAGCAAUGAUUCAAGAAACGUUAGUAGGUGCCCAUAACUUCGGUGGUGGAGAUCCAAAAGUGAACAAGACAGUGUUCUGGCUGCUAAAUUCUUCUUAACUGGUUAUGCCUGGAGACCUUCACUUGGUUCUGUGCCAGCACUGCCCAUGAACUUCAUAGACUGUGAUCUUUGCUAAGGCCUAAAUGAAUGAAGAGUCUGAUGCUUGGCUGUCUGAAACCUAUUCCUGAAAUGAAAACUGUGAGAUCACAUAUCCAGCAUUGUUUCUCAAAUAGAACUAGAAAUAAUAGCCUAAGAAAUGUACCAUCAGCUGGAACUGGAAAGAAUUGUGAUACUUGAAGAGACUUAGCACUUGGUGGACUAUGAUUUUCUAUCAAUCAAGUCAAGCACUGCUACCCAGUCUUCACUACAGAGUGCACCGGAAAGAAUGAUCCAGCAGUAAAAUGCUUUAUGAACUAUCCAUAUGGAAACCAUUGGCAAUAACACAUCCUGGCAUAUGGCUCUGAGAUGUAUAAAGGCACAGUGAAUUCCUGAAUCAUCCUUUGAUCUUCCACAAGACUCAGUAUCACUGAUUAACUACAAUUUGAAUAUAGUUCAUCACUGAAGGAAUGAGUGAGUGAAUGAGAAAGUGAGCAAAUGAGGCCGUGGAGGUCACUUAAACCAGGGAUCAGGUUCAUAGAGGUCACCCAACACAAGAUGGAAUAGUCAAGUAAACCAAGUUUACGGAGUUAGACAAAACUCCAUAAGGCAAGGUCAACAAAGGCAGCUCUGACGGACUGUUCAAUCCUGACUUUAGGCUGAUGCUGGUCUCUACUCUGUCUUCCUCCUGAGAGUAGGGGGCCUGGGGGCCCUUAAAUAAUUGCUGGUGUUAAAAGGGAGUUCAAUAUUUUCAAGCAUACCUAGCUUCUGUUUGAAGAGAGACAGGGUAGAAGAAUUACCUGGAAGGGAUAGGGUACACACUGCCACCUCCAUUGCUAUAACGUUUUACUCUUGUCAACAGACUUUCACAUAUAUGCUCUUGAGUCAAGCACAGGAAGAAAUAAAUUUUGCUGCUGAAUUUGAAGCAAUUGGCCAUGGAAGCCAGUCUUCAGGGGCAUUAAAACAAAUGCCUAACAAAAGUUUAUUAUAAGGCACUUGCUCCACCUGAACUCAUUUCAUCGUUAGAAAAAAAUCUAAGAAGUAAAAAUUAAUAUCCUUCCCUUUUCACAAGAUGAUGGAAUCAAGAGCCUUAACAAGUUUUAAUGGCCUGCCAAGGGUCAUUUGUCAACUUCUGAGUCUAAUGUCUAUGUUCUACUCAUGACAUGGCAGUUGUGGUAUAGAGGGAUCUGAUACAUCAUGAAAAUAUAAACCCACAGAUUUUGAUUCUAAGAAAGUGACCCAAGUUGUGCUCAUUAUGGUUUUGCUUAAAAUUAAAGUUUAGAUUGAAA